ACCAGACUCCUACGGGAGGCAGCAGUGGGGAAUAUUGCACAAUGGGGGAAACCCUGAUGCAGCGACGCCGCGUGAGUGAAGAAGUAUUUCGGUAUGUAAAGCUCUCUCAGCAGGGAAGAAAAUGACGGUACCUGACUAAGAAGCCCCGGCUAACUACGUGCCAGCAGCCGCGGUAAUACGUAGGGGGCAAGCGUUAUCCGGAUUUACUGGGUGUAAAGGGAGCGUAGACGGCAUGGCAAGUCAGAUGUGAAAGCCCGGGGCUCAACCCCGGGACUGCAUUUGAAACUGUCAGGCUGGAGUGCAGGAGAGGUAAGUGGAAUUCCUAGUGUAGCGGUGAAAUGCGUAGAUAUUAGGAGGAACACCAGUGGCGAAGGCGGAUUGCUGGACAGUAACUGACGCUGAGGCGCGAAAGCGUGGGGAGCAAACAGGAUUAGAUACCCGAGUA
This 445-nucleotide ribosomal RNA is filed under the name uncultured bacterium. RNAcentral describes it as "bacterial SSU rRNA". It matches the Rfam family "Bacterial small subunit ribosomal RNA", at positions 330 to 792 of the family's 1533-position model. The record is from RNAcentral.